This is a long non-coding RNA of Mytilus californianus (California mussel), 250 nucleotides long. RefSeq lists it as uncharacterized. The transcript is spliced from 2 exons. The record is from RefSeq and is a predicted model, not a curated record. NCBI's taxonomy places the organism in Eukaryota, Metazoa, Mollusca, Bivalvia, Mytilida, Mytilidae.
AGUGGUGUAAGUGGUAUUUUAGGAGGUGGUAGUGGACUUCUUGGUUCCAUUGGUGGUAUCGGAGGUCCAAUUGGUGGUGUUGUCAGAGGUUCUGUUGGUGUCAUUGGAGGAGGCAGCAAUGUUGUCAGUAGACCAAUUGGUAAAGGAGGAUAUUAUUAAGUAUUUCAAAUGUAACACGAACACGAAGAAAAACUUGUAAUGAAAUGCUUGAAAUUAGUAAAUUUGUUUUAUAAAUAUAAUCGCAAACCGA